RNAcentral lists this ribosomal RNA (483 nucleotides) under uncultured bacterium. Its description in RNAcentral is "partial 16S ribosomal RNA". It matches the Rfam family "Bacterial small subunit ribosomal RNA", at positions 30 to 506 of the family's 1533-position model. The record is from RNAcentral.
AUUGAACGCUGGCGGCAGGCCUAACACAUGCAAGUCGAGCGGAUGAAGGGAGCUUGCUCCUGGAUUCAGCGGCGGACGGGUGAGUAAUGCCUAGGAAUCUGCCUGGUAGUGGGGGAUAACGUCCGGAAACGGGCGCUAAUACCGCAUACGUCCUGAGGGAGAAAGUGGGGGAUCUUCGGACCUCACGCUAUCAGAUGAGCCUAGGUCGGAUUAGCUAGUUGGUGGGGUAAAGGCCUACCAAGGCGACGAUCCGUAACUGGUCUGAGAGGAUGAUCAGUCACACGGGAACUGAGACACGUUCCAGACUCCUACGGAAGGCAGCGGUGGGGAAUAUUGGACAAGGGGCGAAAGCCUGAUCCAGCCAUGCGGGGUGUGUGAAGAAGGUCUGCGGAUGGUAAAGCACUUUAAGUUGGGAGAAAGGGCAGUAAGUUAAUACCUGGCUGUUUGGACGUAACCAAAAGAAUAAGCACCGGCAAACUUCGG